This 329-nucleotide ribosomal RNA is filed under the name uncultured eukaryote. Its description in RNAcentral is "partial 18S ribosomal RNA". It matches the Rfam family "Eukaryotic small subunit ribosomal RNA", at positions 1470 to 1796 of the family's 1831-position model. The record is from RNAcentral.
CCCUUAGAUGUUCUGGGCCGCACGCGCGCUACACUGACACGUUCAUCAAGUCUAUAACCUUGACCGAGAGGUCUGGGUAAUCUUUUAAAAACGUGUCGUGCUGGGGAUAGAUUAUUGCAAUUAUUAAUAUUCAACGAGGAAUUCCUAGUAAACGCAAGUCAUCAACUUGCAUUGAUUACGUCCCUGCCCUUUGUACACACCGCCCGUCGCUACUACCGAUUGAAUGAUUUAGUGAGUACCAGGGACCGAGCGCUUUGGUUGGGUUUCCUUCCCUAGCGCUUGGGAACUGUCGCAAACUUGACCAUUUAGAGGAAGUAAAAGUCGUAACA